GGAUCCCGAUCGUUAGAAGUUUGCGGAUGGGUUGCCUGGAGAUUUGGUUACAAUCAGGUUCAUUAUUAUUUUUUUUUUUUUCCUCCUGAAACAAGUGAAGGCGAUGGUUACUGCUGUCAAUCUUGGCAAUCAAUGUGAGCGGCCAUGUCGUAAGUAUUCAAAGCAUUUCCCGUCGUGCAACAUCAGAAAGUGAGUGGCCAGGGCAUUGAUCUGAGGAAGGCAAAAGGAGGCAGGGCUCCCCCGCCCAGACAGCACAGGCAAGAUGAGACAACACAGAGAGAGAGAGGGAGAGGGGAAGAGAGAGAGGGGGAGACUGAGAGCGAGCGAGCGAGCGAGCGGGGAAAGCAACAACUGCGGAGAAAGUGAGCACAAAACAGAAAGUGAAAUCACCCCAGGCUGCCAGCCGCAUCCCCGAGAAGCUAUCACCACUCACAUUGCUAUUAGACAAAUGAAACCUUAAACCUCUCUCCUCUAAUGACCACUGAUUGCCCGGAGUGGUGAGGAAAGGCUAAAACCAGCCACAGAAGCCAGCGCAAGCAGAUGUUGAGGAGGGAUGCUGAACUGCUGUGGGUCCUGGCAGAGGGAAGGGAUCGGAGGCGCUCUGUUCACGUCGGGGCACUUACCUGUUCACAGUUGUCAUUGCAUUUUGCACCGUCUCUCUCAUUAAAUACGUUAAAGUAAAGCAAUAUUCACCAA
Molecule: long non-coding RNA, 696 nt
Organism: Harpia harpyja (harpy eagle)
Lineage: Eukaryota; Metazoa; Chordata; Aves; Accipitriformes; Accipitridae
Exons: 2
Source: RefSeq, a predicted model, not a curated record